This 919-nucleotide ribosomal RNA is filed under the name uncultured Syndiniales. RNAcentral describes it as "SSU rRNA". It matches the Rfam family "Eukaryotic small subunit ribosomal RNA", at positions 610 to 1560 of the family's 1831-position model. The record is from RNAcentral. Lineage: Eukaryota; Dinophyceae; Syndiniales.
UUGUUGCGGUUAAACGCUCGUAGUUGGAUACCUGCCAAGGGUGGUCGGUCCUCCUCAGUGGAGAGUACCGGGGUUAGCCCUUGGCGCUAGUUCAGGAAACGUGUGCGCUUAAUUGUGUGCCGCGUGACUUGAACUUUUACUUUGAGGAAAUGAGAGUGUUUCAAGCAGGCGUUUGCCGUGAAUAUGAUAGCAUGGAAUAAUAGCAUCGGGCCCCUUUCCAAAGCUGUUGGUUUUUGGAACGAGGUAAUCGAAAUAAGGAUAGUUGGGGGUAUUCGUAUUUAACUGUCAGAGGUGAAAUUCUUGGAUUUUUUAAAGGCGAACUAUUGCGAAGGCAUCUACCCAGGAUGGUUUUUGUUGAUCAAGAACGAAAGUUAGGGGAUCGAAGAUGAUUAGAUACCAUCCUAGUCUUUUUUAUAAACUAUGCCGACUGGAGAUCGGAGUCGUCAGGUUACUGACUUCUUCGGCAUCUUGAGAGAAAUCGAAGUCUUUGGGUUCCGGGGGGAGUAUGGUCGCAAGGCUGAAACUUAAAGGAAUUGACGGAAGGGCACCACCAGGAGUGGAGCCUGCGGCUUAAUUUGACUCAGCACGGGAAAACUCACCAGGUCCAGACAUAGAUAGGAUUGACAGACUGAUAGCUCUUUCUUAAUUCUAUGGGUGGUGGUGCAUGGCCGUUCUUAGUUGGUGGAGUGAUUUGUCAGGUUAAUUCCGUUAACGAACGAGACCUUAACCUGCUAAAUAGUUCCCAGAACUUAGGUUCUCGGGCUACUUCUUAGAGGGACUUCGUGUGUUUAACGCGAGGAGGUUUGAGGCAAUAACAGGUCUGUGAUGCCCUUAGAUGUCCUGGGCUGCACGCGCGCUACACUGAUGUGUCCAAUAAGCUCCUCACCUACUCCGAAGGGACUAGGUAACCUUAGCAAAG